Molecule: regulatory RNA element, 93 nt
Rfam family: Rhodo-rpoB RNA
Source: Rfam
CGAUCGGGAGGCCCCCUUGGGACGGGUGCCAGGUAUGGAUCGGUCUUGCAGUCUCGAUGGGAGCCUCACGCCGAAGCCCGGCGGCGAUGCGGC